RNAcentral lists this ribosomal RNA (379 nucleotides) under uncultured bacterium. RNAcentral describes it as "bacterial SSU rRNA". It matches the Rfam family "Bacterial small subunit ribosomal RNA", at positions 28 to 407 of the family's 1533-position model. The record is from RNAcentral.
GACGAACGCUGGCGGCGUGCUUAACACAUGCAAGUCGAGCGGUAAGGCCCUUUCGGGGGUACGACGAGCGGCGAACGGGUGAGUAACACGUGGGUGACCUGCCCUCAGCUCUGGGAUAAGCCUGGGAAACCGGGUCUAAUACCGGAUAUGACUCCAUGACGCAUGUUGUGGGGUGGAAAGCCUUGUGCGGCUGAGGAUGGGCCCGCGGCCUAUCAGCUUGUUGGUGGGGUGAUGGCCUACCAAGGCGACGACGGGUAGCCGGCCUGAGAGGGCGACCGGCCACACUGGGACUGAGACACGGCCCAGACUCCUACGGGAGGCAGCAGUGGGGAAUCUUGCGCAAUGGGCGAAAGCCUGACGCAGCGACGCCGCGUGAGGG